RNAcentral lists this ribosomal RNA (400 nucleotides) under uncultured bacterium. Its description in RNAcentral is "bacterial SSU rRNA". It matches the Rfam family "Archaeal small subunit ribosomal RNA", at positions 339 to 742 of the family's 1478-position model. The record is from RNAcentral.
GCGCGAAAACUUUACAAUGCUGGCAACAGCGAUAAGGGAACCUCGAGUGCCAGGUUACAAAUCUGGCUGUCGAGAUGCCUAAAAAGCAUUUCAUAGCAAGGGCCGGGCAAGACCGGUGCCAGCCGCCGCGGUAACACCGGCGGCUCGAGUGGUAACCGUUAUUAUUGGGUCUAAAGGGUCUGUAGCCGGCCGGAUAAGUCUCUUGAGAAAUCUGGCAGCUUAACUGUCAGGCUUUCAGGAGAUACUGUCUGGCUCGAGGCCGGGAGAGGUGAGAGGUACUUCGAGGGGUAGGGUGAAAUCUUGUAAUCCUUGAAGGACCACCAGUGGCGAAGGCGUCUCACCAGAACGGACCUGACGGCAAGGGACGAAGCUAGGGGCAGAACCGGAUAGAUACCCAGUA